Molecule: ribosomal RNA, 501 nt
Filed under: uncultured bacterium
Lineage: Bacteria
Description: partial 16S ribosomal RNA
Rfam family: Bacterial small subunit ribosomal RNA
Source: RNAcentral
AUUGAACGCUGGCGGCAGGCUUAACACAUGCAAGUCGAGCGGGGGAAGGUAGCUUGCUACCGGACCUAGCGGCGGACGGGUGAGUAAUGCUUAGGAAUCUGCCUAUUAGUGGGGGACAACAUCCCGAAAGGGAUGCUAAUACCGCAUACGUCCUACACGAGAAAGCAGGGGAUCUUCGGACCUUGCGCUAAUAGAUGAGCCUAAGUCGGAUUAGCUAGUGGGUGGGGUAAAGGCCUACCAAGGCGACGAUCUGUAGCGGGUCUGAGAGGAUGAUCCGCCACACUGGGACUGAGACACGGCCCAGACUCCUGCGGGAGGCAGCAGUGGGGAAUAUUGGACAAUGGGGGGAACCCUGAUCCAGCCAUGCCGCGUGUGUGAAGAAGGCCUUAUGGUUGUAAAGCACUUUAAGCGAGGAGGAGGCUACUCUAGUUAAUACCUAGGGAUAGUGGACGUUACUCGCAGAAUAAGCACCGGCUAACUCUGUGCCAGCCGCCGCAGUAA